Molecule: unclassified non-coding RNA, 282 nt
Filed under: plant metagenome
Description: partial contains small subunit ribosomal RNA, internal transcribed spacer 1, and 5.8S ribosomal RNA
Rfam family: 5.8S ribosomal RNA (bases 235-282)
Source: RNAcentral
UUUCCGUAGGUGAACCUGCGGAAGGAUCAUUAUUGUAUAACCGAGGUGCGAGGGCUGUCGCUGACCCGAAAGGUCGUGCACGCCCGAGUGCCCUCACACACAUCCAUCUCACCCCUAUGUGCACCACCGCGUGGGUCCCCCUUUGGCUUGUUCGGAGGGGGGCUUACGUUUUCACACAAACUUUGUAUGCAGUGUAGAAUGUAUUUUUUGUUUUUGCGAUCACGCAAUCAAUACAACUUUCAACAACGGAUCUCUUGGCUCUCGCAUCGAGAAGAACGCAGC